RNAcentral lists this ribosomal RNA (938 nucleotides) under Salmonella enterica subsp. enterica serovar Muenster. RNAcentral describes it as "partial 23S ribosomal RNA". It matches the Rfam family "Bacterial large subunit ribosomal RNA", at positions 711 to 1566 of the family's 2925-position model. Lineage: Bacteria; Pseudomonadati; Pseudomonadota; Gammaproteobacteria; Enterobacterales; Enterobacteriaceae. The record is from RNAcentral.
AGACCCGAAACCCGGUGAUCUAGCCAUGGGCAGGUUGAAGGUUGGGUAACACUAACUGGAGGACCGAACCGACUAAUGUUGAAAAAUUAGCGGAUGACCUGUGGCUGGGGGUGAAAGGCCAAUCAAACCGGGAGAUAGCUGGUUCUCCCCGAAAGCUAUUUAGGUAGCGCCUCGUGAAUUCAUCUCCGGGGGUAGAGCACUGUUUCGGCUAGGGGGCCAUCCCGGCUUACCAACCCGAUGCAAACUGCGAAUACCGGAGAAUGUUAUCACGGGAGACACACGGCGGGUGCUAACGUCCGUCGUGAAGAGGGAAACAACCCAGACCGCCAGCUAAGGUCCCAAAGUCAUGGUUAAGUGGGAAACGAUGUGGGAAGGCCCAGACAGCCAGGAUGUUGGCUUAGAAGCAGCCAUCAUUUAAAGAAAGCGUAAUAGCUCACUGGUCGAGUCGGCCUGCGCGGAAGAUGUAACGGGGCUAAACCAUGCACCGAAGCUGCGGCAGCGAACGUAUCACUUAAAGCGAUUCAGCGGGUUACGAUUGACGGAGCGAAGCGACGUCAAAGCGUAUACAAAGUCGAGUCGGUUUAAGGAUACGUUCGUUGGGUAGGGGAGCGUUCUGUAAGCCUGUGAAGGUGUGCUGUGAGGCAUGCUGGAGGUAUCAGAAGUGCGAAUGCUGACAUAAGUAACGAUAAAGCGGGUGAAAAGCCCGCUCGCCGGAAGACCAAGGGUUCCUGUCCAACGUUAAUCGGGGCAGGGUGAGUCGACCCCUAAGGCGAGGCCGAAAGGCGUAGUCGAUGGGAAACGGGUUAAUAUUCCCGUACUUGGUGUUACUGCGAAGGGGGGACGGAGAAGGCUAUGUUGGCCGGGCGACGGUUGUCCCGGUUUAAGCGUGUAGGUGUGUGUUCCAGGUAAAUCCGGUUCACUUUAACACUGAGGCGUGA